RNAcentral lists this ribosomal RNA (429 nucleotides) under Verrucomicrobiota bacterium. RNAcentral's name for it is "Verrucomicrobia bacterium partial 16S ribosomal RNA". It matches the Rfam family "Bacterial small subunit ribosomal RNA", at positions 355 to 776 of the family's 1533-position model. The record is from RNAcentral. Lineage: Bacteria; Pseudomonadati; Verrucomicrobiota.
UAGGGAAUCUUCCGCAAUGGACGAAAGUCUGACGGAGCAACGCCGCGUGAGGGAAGAAGGAUUUCGGUGCGUAAAACUCUGUUGGUAGGGGAGAAAAAAUGUAUAGUAACUAUAUACAAAAGAGACGGUACCUAACCAGAAAGCCACGGCUAACGACGGGACAGGAGCCGCGGUAAUACGUAGGUGGCAAGCGUUGUCCGGAAGGAUUGGGCGUAAAGCGCGCGCAGGUGGUUAGGAAAGUCUGAUGUGAAAGCCCACGGCUCAACCGUGGAGGGUCAUUGGAUACUAAUAAACUUGAGUGCAGGUGAGAAAAGUGGAAUUCCUAGUGUAGCGGUGAAAUGCGUAGAGAUUACAAGGAACACCGGUGGCGAAAGCGGCUUUCUGGCCUGCAACUGACACUGAGGCGCGAAAGCGUGGGGAGCAAACAGG